Taeniopygia guttata (zebra finch) is the source of this 11439-nucleotide long non-coding RNA. The record is from Ensembl. Lineage: Eukaryota; Metazoa; Chordata; Aves; Passeriformes; Estrildidae.
CUUUGUGGAUUUGUGGGAGUGAUGGGUAUGAUAUAAAUUUACUUAAACUUUGGGAAAAACCUUGUGUAUCAAAAUUUUUCACUGCUGUCUUUGAGUUGAGGGUGCCCUAUCAAUUAAUAAGGAAUCACUUCUAUCAGUAAUUAAGACUGCAGAGAGGUGAUUUAAUAGGUUUAUGAAUCUGAGUGCCAUAUUUUGUUACUGAUUGCUUUUCUGUUUAAAUCUUCAAGUCACAGACAGGGUGACCUUUUCCUCCAUUUCUUCCUAUUUAUACUUUUGCUAUCAACUCUGUGGUUUAGGUGAUCAUUUUUUUUAAAAUCAUUUUUGUUUCAGUGGCCUGUGCUGUUCCCUGGGUAUCUUCUUCCUAUGAUCAAAGAGUUCAUUUUGUUGCUGGAGCUGUGGUUUUACCUUCUCUCAGGACUGUUACAAAUACACACCUCUGAGCUCAUGGAGUAGCUCUUUCACCAGCUAUUUGUCGGUGUACAGGCUUUGAUGUCUGGUGUUUUGGGUUAGCUGCUGCUGAGAUCAUUUACCCUGGGGAGGUUUAGCAGGUUUAUAGGUGCUGCUGUGAGUUCCACACCCGUGGUGUAUCGCUGCUCUUGACGUUUUAAGUGCCUUCUCCAGCUGUGCAUAAAUGGGAAUAUUCCUGUUGCCAUCCCAGGUGCAGUUGGGCAGAAAGUCCAGCCUGGGUGUCUCUGCUGUAGAGGGACAAGGAGCUGGUUUGCAUUGCAGCAAAAAUGUGAUCCAGGAGGGUUUGCUGGUACCAAAUUCUCUUAGCUUUCCCCUCUUGGAAUCUGCUUCCAACCCUCCUCCUCUGCCUGUUAGUUUUCAUAAAGAAAAAAGUUGUUCUUUCACACAAUUGUUUUGUUGUAUUCUAAGCCUCAUCUGUUUACACCAUGUACAACUGAGAGAGAUUAGGUGUGGGAAAGAGGGGAAAAGAAACCUCUGGGGCCCUUGUGAGCUCUGAAAACCAUUUCUCUCUGUUUCUGAGGUGCCCUAAAAUGCCUCUUCUCUAAUAUGAGCUGCUCUGUAGGGGUUUUCUUAAUCUUCUGUUAAAUUAGUGGUACUAUUUUUGUUUGGCUUAUUUUGAUUGGGUUUUUUUUCCAUAUUUUGCUCUACUGUAGAUGUUCUUCAUCAGGAGGCAGAGCUGUGGAAAAACAGGGAGAUGUCCCUCUGCCUCCCUGUUUUUCCUGCACUGUGUAUUGGUGCUUCAUUUGGCUGUUGUCUUUCAUGAAUAGUGUGGCUUUUACAUCAUUCCAGUUGGGAACCAGUGUGGAGGAGGGGAAUGAAGUAAUCCUUCCUCAAAGGCAUCUCUUGCUGUAGAAUUAGUCAGUACUGUGCUUCUGCCUCACCUGGUAAAACUGCUGGCUCAUACCUUUCAGGGUGAAUGUCACCUGGCACCCCUGGGAAGGGUUUAAUUUUACAUAUUUUAGAGUUGACACUAAAUAUUCUAUGCCUGUCUUGUUUUACUCAGACUCACCAGGAUGACCAAAGAAGCCCAUGUAGAAAUAGUUCCUAUAGAAUAUCUGACAGCAGCUGAAGGAGAUGUGUCUGCAGGACAGCAGUGUUUUAUUCUGACUGCUGAGAAAACAGAAUAGCAGCACAAGCAGUACUUAUGUUCCUAUCCGUGUAGUCAGAUGGGAGCAAAACGAAUCAGGAUUCUAAGUAUGAAAGUAAAUUUGGGAUACAAAGUUAAAAAGGCACACAAAUUAUGGCAGUUUUUGGUUCUUUGUAGAAAACUUUGGUAAUAUUUGAUUAACAUGUCUUGUUAAAUGCAGACAGACAACAGAGCACGUAAUUCUUUUGGAGAAGAGAGCACUUAGCUUUCACAGGACAAAGGGCAGGAUUUGGAAGUAAAGAAGGAGUUGUGUGUCCCUUGAUAACCACAUUUGACAGCAAAGCAGCGAUGCUGGAAGAAACUUCAUAGCUUUAUUUUUCUUUGUGCAUAAGGUCACUGACUCCACCUGGUUCAGCUGUUCAUCCCCUAUGUGUGAAGCUUUUUAUACUUUUAUAAAACCAAAUCAACAACAAAAACCCCCUGAAAUAUAGGUUAGGAAUGGAUGUGACCUAAUGGAAUAAUUAGAACUGUUCAGUUUUGUGUGGGAUUUUUUAUUGCUUCGGCCAAGUCAAAACCUUUUAUAUUGUAUGGAGUCCUGAAAGUUUUCCCAAAAACAUUCCAGUCACUGGACCAGAUUAAUGGCGUUAGAAAACCACCUCCUCUGGUAGGAUACAUCUGCCCCAACAUCCCCUUUAAUUACUGGGGGACUGUCAUCUCUGGGCUUCCUUAGUAGCUGAUGCACCUCCCCAGGGUGAUAAAGCUGGCCAGUCUUUAGUUCUUGCCUGAGGUUAAGAUUAAUUGCCUCUGAGCAGUGUGUCAGGAUUUUUGCACUGACUCUGAAUGUAAUCUAGGAUUGAGUAGUUUGCACCUGGGUUUCUUACACAAAUAGUAAUAAGUGUUUAGCAUCCCUUUAUCUCUGAACAAGGUCUGCAGGUAAAAUAGAACUUUUUAAACACUAUGCACAAAAAAAGUUCUGAAAAAGCUACAGGAUUUCAGUGCUAAUCAAUGCUUGAUUUUCUCCCAUGUCUCAGAGAAGGUAUUGUACCUCAUCUUGAGCUCUGAAAGUCCCUUUUACCCCUCUUGAGAAGAACUGGGGGGGCUGCAGAGACUGGGAUGUGACUGAAAUUGGUGGUGGAAUUGUUCUCCUGUGCGCUGAGAUUGUGUUUAUUAUCCAGCUUUGCAACAGUUGAAGCACAGCAACAAACUGCAGAAUAGCAAACAGACCCUCUUCCCCCUUUUCCUUCUAUUUUUCCCCUUCCCCCUCCUUUUUUUCUCCUUUCCCCUCCAUUUCUUCCCCGUCUUCUCCUCCCUUUUCUUCCCCUUCCCCCCCACCCUUUUUCCUCCCCUUUUUUCCCAUUUCCCCCACUUUUCCUGCUUUUCCUUUCUUAUUCUUCCCUGUUCUUCUCCUUCCCCUUCUCUCCUCUUUUUCCUCCCUUUCGACCCCGAAAUCCUGUAGUCCUCAUUCCUGAGUAUCCUCUGCCCGCUUGUCCCAGCGAGCAGAGCAGGAGAUGUUUGGGUGCUUUGCCCAGGAGCAGCAGGAAGGCUGUUCCCAGCUGGGGCCGCCUUGCUCCUCGAGAGGCAUGAAAUGCUUGGGCAGCGACUGUGCUUGGGACUUUCUGCCUCUUUGAACUGCGCCUCUCUCCAGAGGAAGCUGGCGCAGGCAAAUACAGAGGAGGAGUCUCCGGGCCUGUUGGGGCAAGAACUUGUUUUGCCUUGAAACUUAAUGUGAAGCUUUGGCAAAGCUGAAGAUGAAAGGCAGUGGGUGAAUGAUGAGUGUUCAGUCAUUUCUGAUGUGUAUUGCUGUAUCUGGGGGGCCAAAGUUCAGCCAAGAUGGCUUUAUAACUCCCUUGCUUGUUCUGGGCAAGUGACACAAAUAUUAAUCGCGGGGUUGAACUUUGUAUUUAUUUCCCAUGCUGGGUUGGGAUGUGUUUGUAGUGUCAGUGUUCGGUUGUUUGGGGUUUUCCCCCUUCAAAACUCAAGAUAAAGUUGGACUUUUGGGAGAGAGGGCAGAUCUUGUUAGCAUUUUAAGUUGAAAUUAGCAGAAUUUUCCAGGAGGACUGAAAUGAUACUUUACUGCUGUUGUGGUUGACUCCAUUGAUUUUAUGAUGUCUAUUCUAGGAUUGAGAAGCUGCACAUUUUCCUUUGCGCUUCCUCUAAACAGCUUCUUUUCUUCAAAGGAGUGAGUACAUCAGAGAGCUUCAGGCACUUGAGUUACCAGGCAGCUCCAGGUACUAAAAAUGGGCAGGGAGCCACGUGAAGCUACUGAGAAUUCAGCUGACAGACCUAGAAAGAAACUGUAAAUUGAGACAAGUUAAACCAGCUCUGAACAGGCAAUGCCAUUGUUUGUGUUUCUGUUUAAUAAGUGAUUAUUUAUUUCCUGGGAGUACAUUUGUGAAAGGGGAAUGUUUUCCAUUUUCCAGCCACAGUCACUGAUGUGGUCAGCAUGGCUUGUGUUUUGGUUGGGCAAAAUAUGAAACAAGAGCCACAUGAUCAGCUUGGAAAAGCAUGCUGUUUUUCUGGGAUGUUCAAAAAGGAAGCCUCUCUGCUUCCUUAAAUACACCUAUACUAUGUUAAAGAAUUAGUGGCACUGCUCUUCUGUCUGUUGUCCCAGUUCUGCAAUGCCAUCAGUGUUACAUGGUAUGUAAAUCUCUACAGCCCAGAAAAACAGCUGAAAACUCAUUUGACUUGGAUGAAAAGGCAUUUGUGUGGGUAUCAGUCUAAAGGCUGGCAAAAUAAAAAUCUUACCUUGGUUGAGAUAAAGGGGUAGCUGGAAUUCAGAAUAGGUAGCACUAGUUUGGUCAACUGUUAGAAAGGCAAAACUGAUUCAAGUUCUGAAGGCCAGUGAUGCUUUUUUAAUAGCCGCUGUCUUUAAAAGAAGCCUUUUUCCUUGGUGGUUGCUCCUAGAAGGUCAAAAUCGCCCAUACUGUCCUCAGAGGAGGUCCUGUCCUAUGACAAGCGCUGUGUUUGGGAGUGGUGUGUUGAGUGCACAAAUAAGAAACAGUCAGAAAUAGCAGUAUUCUUUAUUGUUUAGGGUAAAGAAUAGCUGCCACCAGAGCAGGAAAAAAUGGAAACCAGAGGAGUAAUAGAAAGUGGCGAUGACAGCGAUUGCUGCCGGUGUAAACAAUUAACACUAUUCAUUUUGGAUAAAGCCCAAUCAUAGCAUUUCCAAGAAAAGGAUAAUUCUUCCCCUCUACCAGCAACCACACCAAGCAUCUUGUGAUGCACAGCCCUUGGUUCCUAUCUCUGGAUCCUUUUUAGCUUUCCUUGGGGUUUCUUUUCUUAUUUCAGUGCUGUAUUUAUUUCCUGAUGUUUUUGUUUUAUUGCUCUCUGCUCCCUCUAAUUUAUUUGGGGUGACACUUUUUCUGUGAGUGGGUGUUUCAGUCAGCCCACGGUUACUCCCUGUCUAAGAGGGCUGAUGUGGAAGCAGAAGGUGAACUGCUGGGACAGCUCUGGAGCUUUGGGAAUGAUUCUCUCUCAUGGUGUAAAGUUGCUGCAAUGGACAAGGAAGGAACUGAGAAUUAGGGCACAUGUGGGGUCAUGCAGCUGUUUCUGCCUUGGCUCUCAUUCCUUUCAGUUUCUCUGCACUUGCAGUGUGCUGAAAAUUGACUUUGUGGAAUAGCAGAACUUGGGGCCUUUUUGUAGACAUCCUCUGGCACUUUCAGGAACAUCCCAGUGGUGUUUUCUAAGUGUUUCUGUGUUGCUGGUAGGGAGCUCAGCUCAGAGCCACCAAGGUGUGGGUGCUUUGGAGCCCAACCCUCUUACACUUCUGCAGUGCUCUUCUGCUCAUACUUUAUACUCCACUGGUGAGUUUGGGCUGUGCUUGUUUCUCAUUGGCUCUGUGUUGAUUUUGGCUGGAUGUUGCCUACUCUUGUUUGAAUGAAUUCAAAACUUUCCGAACAGCCUUACAAGGUGGAAGUUGCAUCUGUCUUCACUGUAUUUAUUCAUUUACUGUAUUGCUGGGAACCCACUCUGCUCUGCAAAGAACUGUUCAAAUUAGAACAAAGUUUUCUUGGAAGCCAAAAGUAAAAUGUUGCCAUUUAACUUGCAGAGGGGCAAAAUAGUUCUGUCUGAGCUGUAGGAAUGACAGUUUCCCAGGAAAAGUUAAUACUUCCAAGUACUCCUAACUCUGUUUUUACAUCAUCAGAGACUAUUUAUGCUCUGUCAGCUUGAAGUUACAUUAUCUGAAGUGUGUCAAGUCAGAAUGAUGUCAUUGCUUUUAUAGUCUCUCUCUUCUUGAAUGUCGCCUCAUCUACUACUUCUUAAUUCCAUUUCUGUCACUCUUUCCAUCCCUCAUCUCUUUCUUGGCUUGCCAGACAGCACUGCAAAACUAUCAGACUUGCUUUCCAAUUGAAGUCACUGCAGCUUAGCUCACAGCCAGCUUUGCAGCAUUAGUCAGGAAAACUUUGACUGUAGCCUGUCGCUGAAUUCCAAGGGAGAUGUGGCUGCCUGCAUGGGAGGGAUGUGCUGGAGAGAAAUCCAAGGGUGUUUUUGUGCAGGGGCUUAUACAGAUAAGGGCACUGGGAGAUUUUCUUGGUUUUCUCCCUUACAAAAAAUUCACAGGUUUUUUCUUUGCACCACGUACUGCUGUCUUGUCUCAAGAGUUACCAGAGAAGUAAAAGUUUCCAAAAAAGGAGGGAUGCAAAUCACAGAAAUGCAAUUAAAGUAGCAAAAGGGAGGUGCAAGGCAGACAGAUUUAUCCAUUUGGAACUGUACAGUAUGUCAAGUUCUGAUUCAAAACCUUGUGGGGUUCUUCUGUUUUUCUUUGCCAUGUUGUUUGUAAAAGGGAUUUUGUGAUAACUCACCUACAGCAGAGAAAAUUCUGUAGCAUAGAUAAGAGUGCCUGGGAGGGAGGAAAAAAAAGAGGCCUGGAUGUAAAUGAGUAAGAGUUUAUUCUUGUGGGUUGUUUCCCUCAGGGAAUGUCCACAUGAGGUUCUGAAACAGAGCUUUCUUCUCUUUAUUUUCACUGCUGGGAUUUUGUGUGACACUGGGGGUGGCAGUGGAAGGGGAGGCUGGAAAUGGUGGUAUUUUCUUGAGUAAUAAAACAGGAGAGAACAGAAUUGGAGAUGGGAAAUAAGGCCAGGUCUCACAAGAUUUGGAGGUCUCAUUUGAGCCUAAACACAAUUGUGCUUUAUGUCACAGCAAAAAACCCUAAAUCCAGCCAAAUUCUGAAAUAUAAGCCUCUACUGCUGCUAAGAAAGCAAAUAUUAACUGCAUUUUUAUUAAAGGGAAGUUGAGUUUUUCAGUGUAUGAAAUCACAUUAUGUCUUUGUGCUAAGUUUGAGACACCGUAAAAGCCUCUAAAAUAUUUACCUUGGAAUUAUGUUGGAAAGAUUGUUAUAUAGACCCAAUAUACAAGGUGGUUUUGUCUGAUGUUUGAACUUAUAAAUGGGUUUCUGACUUUAACUUUGGAAAUUGCCUUGCCUUUUAAAAAAUUAUUUAUUUAUUUAUUUAUUAUUUUUUAGCAAGCUAGUUCAUGUAUUAAAUUGAAAUCUGUAUAAAUUACAGUUAAUUAUAGUCGGCUCAGAGUGAAGCCUAAAAUAGGUUACAUGCUGUUUGGAAUAAAAUGUGCUGAAAAUGAUGAAAGCUGUUUGGUUGGGCCUGAAGUCCAGUCUGAGGUGUUUGAUCCUCCCCUGGCUGCUGCUCUCCCAUCUUCCUCAUGUCUACUAUGGCAGGUCUGCUGGCUAGGCAAUGAAGUUACAAGGUUCCUUGGAAGGAAAAAAGGAGGGUGUGAGACUGUUGAGCCUUUUGUCUUUAGGAAGAGAGGCUGAAAUGGUUUCUCCUGUUCAUUUGAGACCAACCAAAAUUCUUCCUCAAUGUUGUCACAUUAUCCAAAUACCAAGGGGAAAGACAUGCUAUUUACUAAAAUAAAAAACAUCUAGCACUAAACUUACUGAAGUCCUUUCUUUUUCUCCCUGGAAUUGCAUUUUGGGUCCUGACUUUGAGGGGACAUUUGCUGUCCCCCCUGUUUGGAAGGGAUGGUGGCAGAGCUGCCCGGUGAGUCAGCAGGGGCUGCUUAACCCUGUCCCAGCACAUUCUGUCAUGGUUUUGUUUAUGGAUGAUACAGUCUGUGGCUGUUUGUUGUCCUUCAGCUGAAUUAGUGCUUUAUGCCAGUUUUUAUUAUUCUGAAUCCUAUUGAAUUAAUUACAUUAAAACAACUUCACUAGAGACCUUGAGCAAGAGUUAUUUCCUGCAGCACAUCUUCCUGCAUUUAUGUAGUGACUUAAUGAAUGCCUGCACACUUCCCACUGUUCAGCUAUUGUUUCACAUUCCUGCAUGCAUGUCCUUGACAGGAACUAAUUAUUAGUUUAAUUGUAUGCAAAAAUAUUUAUGCAUUACAUUUUUAAAGCAUUAUUGCAGUAGGUACUUGUAAAAUCAUUUCCCAAUAAAAACACGAGAUCUAAAAGGGCACAUGCAGUAGGGUCUGACCUGCAGUGCACCUGGGAAGCUUUUUGGAAAGCAAAUUACUUUGAAAAUAACUGUGGACCUGAGCUUAGUCAUUCUGCUUCCUGACUGCAGUGGCUGCAGUGUAAGUAGAAGAGGUUUUAUUCUUUACCUUGCACAAACCUGGGUGCUGUUUAAACCCAGCUGUUUUUUUCUUCCUGUUCUCUCCUCAAUCACUGACCCAAAUUUCUGUGCAAUUGGUAACAGAAUAUUCAGCCAAUUUCUGUGCUUAGGUAAGGCUGAGAUUAAAAACCUGUCCUCGGUGAGUGGUGCAGCCCUGGAACAUCCUGGGGGAUUUGCUGUGGGUGAGGAGGUGAAGUCGCAGUUGUGCUCACUUGGUUUUGUGACUAAAGGAGGGAGCACAUUUGGCCUUGGGCAGCUUUCAGGAGCUGUGUUGUUGGGCAAGAUGUUUGUGUGGAGUUAUUUUGAAGGAUAAAACUGGUUCAAAAACUCUGUUCUUUCCUAAGAUGUACUUUUCUAGUAGCGGUUAAGAUGCACAUGGAGGAGCCUGAGGAACACACCCCAGACCCCAGCCUUUCACUUGUGGCUGAGAGGAGGCUGAUACAGUGUGGGAGGCCUUGAGCUCCUGGCUGGAGAGGGUGAAAUUUCUCCCAGUCACCAGCACCAGAAGUGCAUUAUGAAUGUUUCUCAGACUUGGCCAUCCAGGGUGGUGGGGGCUGGCUUUGGUGUAUCUCAAGUCCCAGAGGAAGUUGGGCUUCAAGUUAACAUUCUGUCUACCCCUGAAUGAUUUGGGGAACUCUGCAUUACAAAAAGUAAACCAUUGGAGCACUGAGGUCACUCAUUAUACUUGAAGUUUUGUUGAAAACUCACCAACAAAGUGCAUUUGUUUUCCUUUGCUGGCAUCACGUUCUGCUUGGAACUGCCAGAGCUCCAGGAAUGGUUGGACAAUGCUCUCAGGGACAGGGUGGGAUUGGUGGGAUGGCUGAGCAGGGCCAGGAGUUGAACUCGGUGGUCCUUGUGGGUUCCUUCCAACUAGGAUAUUCUGUGAUUCUGUGAAAAUGGGGAAUACUUUCCAUACUCACCAGGGCUGUAGGGCACUGUUAGUUCCUAACCAGAGCUGCCCUACUCUCUGGCUGAUGGAGCUGCCAGUUCCCUGUCUUUCCAGUAGCACUGCUGUGUUUCCUCUGGAUCAUCACUUACCAGGCUAAGCCUGGAGGAGGAAAAAAGGCUUGCCAUAGGAACCAGCUCAGGUAAUGAGGUGGCUGAUGAUGUCAUCCAGUUAAAGCUUAAUAAAAUUUAUUAUAAAAGAUUUCCUAUCCUUGAAUAUUUCAAUCUGUGGCCUUUCUUUUAAUCUUGUGUCUUUUGCAGCUGUGGUUUAGCAGGAUCUCUGAGGAAACAAAGGCAAUCAGGACAUUUUAGGUUUAAAUUUCUGGCAGUGCUAAGUCUGUUGAGGUUCUCUCAGCUCAACAGGACUCUCAAGUGUGAGGUUGAGCUUUGCAAAGGGUGCUUGUGCGUGUCCCACUCUAAACCCAUCAGCUGCACUCUGUGAAUUUGCUCAGGGGCUGCAUUAAUGGGUACAUUAGCCACAGAUCUACAGUUUUGUAAGAGGAGAACAAAAAUUUAUAGCCCCUGUUUACUUAAUGGUAGGUCAAGAGGCCAGUCCUGCAAAUCACUUCUCAUUGUAGGUGCUUCAAUAUGGAAAAUAUUUCAGGGGAAUGCAUGCAGCAUUUUUUCUCUUCCUUUUUCUGUUUCUGUCUGCUGUUCUUUGAACUUGCAACACUGGAGGCCACAGAAACGUUUUGUGGGGAAUAUAAUCUCAGAAAGGAACAUUUGAUGGAAGAAACUUGUGCAAAUGAAAUGCUCUCUGUAAAAGGAAAUAAUUCAUGUCUUUUAGCUUUUCAAACGCAUCCUAACACUCCUGCUGGGUUCCUUUCACUGUGAAGUAAUGCAGAGGAUUAGUCAGCAUCAUCUAAUUAGGCAGCGGCAAAGCAAAAAUGGUGUUCAACAGCCUCUGCCCUGGUUCUGUUUCCAUUCAUAGGACUUGCCCAUGGAAGCCAAGGACAUCUGAGUGAUGGCACUGGAAAAGUUGGAGGGCUGUGAGGUGAGGUGUGCUCAAAUAGGAUUUCACCUGAGGAGGAAAUCCAAGGUCAUCCUCUGCAGUUUCUAUACCAGAACAGUCAUCCUGUGGUCCGAGUGAGUGUACAGGUAACUGCAGCACUUCCUUGUUCCUUAAUAGCUCUGGUGAUGUCAGAGCUUUAAUUCUGCUCCAUCCUGCUGGAAAAGACAGGAGUGAGACUUGCUGGACAGCAUUUUCUUCCUGUUCCUAUAGGUCUGUGCUGCUUUGGUGUGCAUAGUGGAUUGUCCUGUGAUGUAUCUGUGGCUGAAUUCCUUUAAAAUGUGCUUAGCAACAGUACCUGGCAGGCCUGAAAUGGGAGAGCUCACCUUGAAUUCUUUCUGGGUGGGCUGAUGGUAGAGUCCCAGCGUCCAAGAAAAUGGUAUUUUACAGUAUAACACACAGGGAGCAGGAGAAAUGGUUUGUUGAGAGAGGGUUCUCCUGGCCUUUCAUUUCACAGCAGCCCUUCAGCACGUGGCUAGCUGCACUGAAGGGCUCCCAGUGACCCUGGCCCUCACUGAGGAAUGCUGCCACUUCAGCUCACUUGGAUCACAAACUGGAUUUCACUUCUUUCUCAGUGGUUGGCACAGGAUUACUUAGAGCUGGGGAACUGGGGAAGAACAAGUUGGCCUCUUCCCAGUGAAGGUUAUUACUAUUAAGCUUUGCCCACUGGAGCAUUAGAUCAGCAUAAAGGAAGAAACUGAUCUUUUUUGUAUUGGGCUUUUAAAACAAACAAGCAAAACACUUUUCUUAUUAGAACAUGGGAGUUAUACCAGCAAUGCAGUUGACACUAAAUAGUUUUAAGCAGAAGACAUUGCUGUAGAUGAGAAUCAUCUGCAAUUAAUUGACAGAGCUGGGACAUGAGAGGGCACAGGAUGGAAAUGAAUUCUGCUUGUUUCUGUCCAAACUGAUUUUUUGGUGUGAAGUUGUUGAUCAAAUCAGCCUUAUUGCUGAUAGUUGAUAUUGAUAAUGAACCUAUAAAUUGUUCCAUUGUGACUUUUUGUGACUCCCAGUUUCAGUUAAGCUGAAUUUACAAGCUUAGCUCCUAGUCAUGUAUGGGAGGAAGGAUGUGUAUCCAAGACUCCCCAGUUCACUGCAAUGUCCAUUUUAGUGUCUGCGAGUCAGUCUGGCUCUUCUGACCAUGUUGCACAGGAGAAAAGAGGCAAAAUUCCCUUCUGGUACAGCUGCUAAGGAGCUCCUGGGAGGAAAGAGCUGUUGGGAAGUGGGAACCGUGAGACUUUGGUGAUGACAUGCUGCAGCCCUGGGAUGGUGUUGCUUUGGUUAGGGGGAUGAGGUGUAGAGGGAGCAUGUAGAUGGGAAACCACAGAACUGGGAAAAGGAAGCAACCAGGGCCAAAAAAAAAAAAAAAA